Felis catus (domestic cat) is the source of this 314-nucleotide long non-coding RNA. RefSeq lists it as uncharacterized. NCBI's taxonomy places the organism in Eukaryota, Metazoa, Chordata, Mammalia, Carnivora, Felidae. The record is from RefSeq and is a predicted model, not a curated record. The transcript has 2 exons.
GGUAGCCCGUUUUCCACCUCCUUUCUAUAUAAUGCAUCACAGAGAGUAGAGAAAUAGGUUUUGAGAACUGUAUUCCUAGGAAAGCUGAUUGGACAACAACAACAACAACAACAAAAACAAUGAAAGGAAAUAAAAUCACAGGAAUAUGGCCAAAGCUCCGUCAACCACAUCAAAAGAUGAAAUGUUCUAAGGAUGGCAGACCAAAGAGUUCAAAGGAGUCAGGAUCACCUAACACUGUGAAACCAGCAUCUGAGCUCUAAAUCAUCUGUCUGGAUUCCUCCCAGGGAAGAAACCAGUAAACUUAUUUUGCUUAA